This 465-nucleotide ribosomal RNA is filed under the name uncultured bacterium. Its description in RNAcentral is "partial 16S ribosomal RNA". It matches the Rfam family "Bacterial small subunit ribosomal RNA", at positions 28 to 507 of the family's 1533-position model. The record is from RNAcentral.
GACGAACGCUGGCGGCGUGCUUAACACAUGCAAGUCGAACGGAAAGGCCCCAGCUUUCUGGGGUACUCGAGUGGCGAACGGGUGAGUAACACGUGGGUGACCUGCCCUUCACUCUGGGAUAACCCUGGGAAACUGGGUCUAAUACCGGAUAGGACCUUCCUCUAGUGUGUGGGGUGGAGAGUUUUUCGGUGCAGGAUGAGCUCGCGGCCUAUCAGCUUGUUGGUGGGGUAGUGGCCUACCAAGGCGGCGACGGGUAGCCGGCCUGAGAGGGUGUACGGCCACAUUGGGACUGAGACACGGCCCAGACUCCUACGGGAGGCAGCAGUGGGGAAUAUUGCACAAUGGGCGCAAGCCUGAUGCAGCGACGCCGCGUGGGGGAUGACGGCCUUCGGGUUGUAAACCGCUUUCGGCAGGGACGAAGCGUUAGUGACGGUACCGGGAUAAGAAGCACCGGCUAACUACGUG